This 74-nucleotide transfer RNA is filed under the name Candidatus Zambryskibacteria bacterium RIFCSPHIGHO2_02_FULL_39_16. RNAcentral describes it as "tRNA-Gln". It matches the Rfam family "tRNA". From Rfam's summary of the family: Transfer RNA (tRNA) molecules are approximately 80 nucleotides in length. The record is from RNAcentral. Lineage: Bacteria; Candidatus Zambryskiibacteriota.
UGCCGGCUCGUCUAACGGUAGGACACAUCCCUUUGAAGGAUGGUAUUGGGGUUCGAUUCCCUGGCCGGCAGCAA